Molecule: ribosomal RNA, 455 nt
Filed under: uncultured bacterium
Lineage: Bacteria
Description: bacterial SSU rRNA
Rfam family: Bacterial small subunit ribosomal RNA
Source: RNAcentral
ACUCCUACGGGAGGCAGCAGUGGGGAAUAUUGCACAAUGGGCGGAAGCCUGAUGCAGCGACGCCGCGUGGGGGAUGACGGCCUUCGGGUUGUAAACCUCUUUCAGUGCAGAACAAGGCUCUUUGUGGGUUGAGGGUAUGCGCAGAAGAAGCGCCGGCUAACUACGUGCCAGCAGCCGCGGUAAUACGUAGGGCGCGAGCGUUGUCCGGAUUUAUUGGGCGUAAAGAGCUCGUAGGCGGUUUGUCGCGUCUGCUGUGAAAUCCUCUGGCUUAACUGGGGGCGUGCAGUGGGUACGGGCAGACUGGAGUGCGGUAGGGGAGACUGGAAUUCCUGGUGUAGCGGUGGAAUGCGCAGAUAUCAGGAGGAACACCGGUGGCGAAGGCGGGUCUCUGGGCCGUUACUGACGCUGAGGAGCGAAAGCAUGGGGAGCGAACAGGAUUAGAUACCCUGGUAGUC